RNAcentral lists this long non-coding RNA (794 nucleotides) under Glycine max (soybean). RNAcentral describes it as "long non-coding RNA (GMAX_LNC002967)". Lineage: Eukaryota; Viridiplantae; Streptophyta; Magnoliopsida; Fabales; Fabaceae. The record is from RNAcentral.
UUUUUUAUGUAAAAUUUCAUGAUGAGUGCAUUAUGUAUGUUUAUGAUGGAUGGAAAAAUGUUUUAUAGACACCCAUUAUGCUAUAAGACACCUAGAGAUAGAGAAAAAAGAGAGGAAAAUAUAGGUAUUAUAGGGUUUAUGAUGUGAUAGGAAGAGAGAAAUGAAAGGUGUUGGUGGGGCGUUUAAAAUAAGUGGGUGUUUGUGUAUCAUUGCUCAUGAUGGAUGCUUUGCUUGCCAUUUUCCUCUGGCUUAAUAUCUAUGUAUAUGAUGGAUGCAGAUGUUCUUCCCUCUUGGACCUACUGCCCAUGCUAUCUAUGGUGCAAUUGGUGCUAUGAUAUUCUCUGGCUACAUUGUGUAUGACACUGACAACCUGAUCAAGCGUUUCACUUAUGAUGAGUACAUUGGAGCCUCUGUUACUCUUUAUCUUGACAUACUCAACCUCUUCCUUUCCAUCUUAAGGAUCCUCAGGGAGGCAAAUAAUUAGUCAUAUCGAGGUUGAGUAAUACCAAACAAAUUCAAAAAGACUAUGUUGCUUCUUUAUUUUUAUUUUUUGUGACUAUGUUGCUUCUUUAUAGUAUACCGUAGGAAGUAUUGUGAAACAUAAUAACACCGUGCUUCUCUUGUACUCCCUUACAGCUUAUGAUACUUUUGAUGACAUGAAAUUUAAAGCUUUACAAUUGUAUGUAUGCGUGAUAUAAGAAUCUCCCUUGCGAAAUAUUUUCUGUUUGCUUUGUUUGAAGUGAGUUGUCUAUCAAUUUAAUGCUAUGUAUACAGUAGUAUAUGGCAUAUCGUAG